UUGGAGGGAGUAAGAACAGGUUACAGCCCAACUCGGCGGCCCACUACCAAACCCAUGUUUGGUUGGUUGUAAUGGUUUAUUACGUUUUCUUUGAAAACAACCUUAUUCUGUGAAAAGCCAGGAUCUCUAAAUUCUUCCCUCACUACCAAAUAGCAAUUCAACGAAGGUGGAAACUCUCUCUUUUUCCCAUUUCCAAUUUUUACCCCUCACCUUUCUGAAACCAUCCUCCUUACUCCCUUGCUUGCUUGAUUUCUUCUUUUUCUUUUCCCUUUCAUUAGAAUCACGUCAUUUGGUGGGUUCCAAGUUUACUGCAACUGAAAACUAAACCAAGUGUUCUUGGCAAUUGAAGCCAUUGAUUUGGCAGUAGACUUGAAGAUUUGGUCUUUGCUGAGUCUUUUUCUGCGCAAUGAGUGGUUUAAAUUCAACUUGAUUGAUAUUUGGACUACUUGUAACAUAUUUCCUUCACUACAGUUUUUAAUAACUGAAUUAUUUUUUUCGAAA
This is a long non-coding RNA of Gossypium raimondii (Peruvian cotton), 501 nucleotides long. RefSeq lists it as uncharacterized. The transcript is spliced from 2 exons. The record is from RefSeq and is a predicted model, not a curated record. Lineage: Eukaryota; Viridiplantae; Streptophyta; Magnoliopsida; Malvales; Malvaceae.